This 253-nucleotide ribosomal RNA is filed under the name uncultured bacterium. RNAcentral's name for it is "partial 16S ribosomal RNA". It matches the Rfam family "Bacterial small subunit ribosomal RNA", at positions 524 to 776 of the family's 1533-position model. The record is from RNAcentral.
GACGAACCGUGCGAACGUUGUUCGGAAUUACUGGGCGUAAAGGGCGCGUAGGCGGCCUGCUAAGUCGGACGUGAAAUCCCGAGGCUCAACCUCGGGUCUGCAGUCGAUACGAGCAAACUAGAGUGUUGCAGGGGAGACUGGAAUUCCUGGUGUAGCGGUGAAAUGCGCAGAUAUCAGGAGGAACACCGAUGGCGAAGGCAGCUCGCUGGGACGGUACUGACACUGAGGCGCGAAAGCGUGGGGAGCGAACAGG